RNAcentral lists this ribosomal RNA (758 nucleotides) under Elasticomyces elasticus. Its description in RNAcentral is "eukaryotic LSU rRNA". It matches the Rfam family "Eukaryotic large subunit ribosomal RNA", at positions 77 to 869 of the family's 3401-position model. The record is from RNAcentral. Lineage: Eukaryota; Fungi; Ascomycota; Dothideomycetes; Mycosphaerellales; Teratosphaeriaceae.
GCCUCAGUAACGGCGAGUGAAGCGGCAACAGCUCAAAUUUGAAAUCUGCCGCAAGGCCGAGUUGUAAUUUGUAGAGGAUGCUUCUGGGCAGCGGCCGGUCUAAGUUCCUUGGAACAGGACGUCAUAGAGGGUGAGAAUCCCGUAUGCGACCGGUUGGCACCCGUCACGUAGCUCCUUCGACGAGUCGAGUUGUUUGGGAAUGCAGCUCUAAAUGGGUGGUAAAUUCCAUCUAAAGCUAAAUACCGGCCAGAGACCGAUAGCGCACAAGUAGAGUGAUCGAAAGAUGAAAAGCACUUUGGAAAGAGAGUUAAAAAGCACGUGAAAUUGUUGAAAGGGAAGCGCAUGCAACCAGACUUGUCGGCGGUGUUCCGCCGGUCUUCUGACCGGUCUACUCGCCGCCGACAGGCCAGCAUCGUGUGGGUGCGCCGGAUAAAGGCGUCGGGAAUGUGGCCCCUCGGGGUGUUAUAGCCCGGCGCAUAAUACGGUGCCGCCCGCGCGAGGUCCGCGCUUCGGCUAGGAUGCUGGCGUAAUGGUCGUAUGCGGCCCGUCUUGAAACACGGACCAAGGAGUCUAACAUCUGUGCGAGUGUUCGGGUGUCAAACCCCUACGCGGAAUGAAAGUGAACGGAGGUGGGAGCUUCGGCGCACCAUCGACCGAUCCUGAUGUCCUCGGAUGGAUUUGAGUAAGAGCAUAGCUGUUGGGACCCGAAAGAUGGUGAACUAUGCCUGAAUAGGGUGAAGCCAGAGGAAACUCUGGUG